GGAAAUGACGUGUUUGAAGACUUAAUCAAUGUCAUGGUGAAAGUCAAGUGUCAGCAAUCAGUCAGUCAGCCGAGUGUGCAACCAGCUUUCUUUGCAACUUUGACUAAAUCCGUUUCACUAGGUACAAAUUCUGUACUGAAACUUGAUCGUGUAGUGACAAAUAUAGGAAAAGGAUAUGACGCAGGCUCUGGAGUCUUUACAGUUGGUAAAUCAGGAUUGUAUGAAUUUGCUGCUAAUUUCAUCUCGAAUGGUGACAACUGGCUCGAGUUAAAUUUAAUGAAAAAUAACGAUUUCGUAGUAAAAGGUCAUUCAGCAAAGGCUCAUGGUACAGCAGGUUCACUUCAGGCCAUAUUACAAAUUGAGGACUGCUCUUUCAAAGUAUGAACUAACAACGGCUGAAAAACUGAUAGAAACUGUUCUUACUAUAAAAAGAAAUGGAAAGUUAUUGUUAAACAAGCAAUUCGAUUUUUUUUGGAAAUGACAUGGAACUAAGGAAAAUUUGAAAAAUCAGCAAUGAAAUUUAAACACGUAAAACACAACCCCGUAAAAAAAACUCAUGAAACCUAGAAAACUCUGCAAAUACUGUAUAAGAAGUAUAAAAAAAAGCUUAACUUAAAGCAAAGCUAGCGACAAGAAUGUAUACGCUUCAACAUGACAAGG
This is a long non-coding RNA of Mytilus californianus (California mussel), 660 nucleotides long. RefSeq lists it as uncharacterized. The transcript is spliced from 3 exons. Lineage: Eukaryota; Metazoa; Mollusca; Bivalvia; Mytilida; Mytilidae. The record is from RefSeq and is a predicted model, not a curated record.